GAUUUUACCCUAGGCAACCCAGAUUUCUCGUCGGAAUCCACAACCAUGGCGGAAUCCUCGGUGCGCCGCGGACGAAGCUCUUGCCUGCACCAAUCAAUGUAAGAAUCUCCGCCGAGUCAUCGUUUUCCCCUAUGCUUUGCGUAGCACCUCGGGCAAAAACGAAUUACGGGCCCUUGGAUCUGUGAUUGCUCACCGGUGCGACCCGUCCGCCAUGAUGCUGUGCGAUACCGUGGUCGUGGCUCUACGUUGUUCGUAUCUGGUAAAUAACCUCUCUGUCGCGUUCACCGUUGCCUUCUCCCUUUACUACACCCAGAUUCGUGGGAGGUCAGGCAGCUGGGGGCCAGAAUGGUGCACUCCGGCGGGGAUCCGCCGUGGCCGUGGGGCGGCGCCGCCGCCUCGGCUCGGGACAAAGGUGAGGGGAUAGGGGUCGUCGGAUCGAUCAUCGACGGCUAGGAUUAGAAAACGGAUACCGUUUCGUCUGAGUCAAGUGAGACCGUAGAUGUCUGAUCGUGGGGCUGUGGGAGUUUCGGACUUUAUUAACUCUGGUCCAUCGGAUCUUGAUCCAAGGGUAGUCAUCGCACGUAGCUUCGUUGGGAGGGCAAACUGUUGUCAGCCCUCAGAUCUAAUCCAGUGGCCGAGAAUCACAAAUACCCUUUUGGCCAGCACCAUUUGCAAACGAGCCCCUCACGUUUUAGUGAAUACACCCGCCGUCCACAUGUGGGCAAAAUUCAUAACAGGGAGGCCAUGGAUUCUUUGAUUCUAAACCCUAGGUUCUUCUGUAUUCAUGGCUGUAGCCCAGAUAAUUAAGAAAUAAAUUAAAUUAAAUCCAGAAAUCAUUUUGGUGUAGAAAAAUAGUGUUCCCAAUCUUAGGAAAUUCAUAUCUUGAUGAAUUUAACUCCUUUUUUGGUCCGUUCCAAUUGCAUUAAACUCAUAGUAAUAUUGUUUAUCAUCAGGUAACCUCAUUUUGUCAUGAAAUAUAGAUUAAAAUAAUGCACUUAUUUUGUUCUAUAUUUAAUCACCUAAAAGUUCAGAAAAACAUAACUCGAUAAUCGUAACUCUGAUUUGAUCCGUUCAAGUUGUGUUAGUCUCGUAUAAAUAUUUAUUAUGCAAUAACAACAUUUAUUAUACCAUGUCCCAUUCUUUUAUAAUUAGAUCUUUAUUUAACUUAGGUUGGUUAGUCUUGUUAAUUUGCUUAUCAUUAUAAUUUACUAAAAUAUGAUCUAUGGUCAAAUUAUAACUUAGAUCAAAGUGAAUUAAUUAUUUAUAAGAUAUUCUCUCAUAUGAUUUAUAGUAACCAAUUUAUAAUAGUCUAAUAUUUUAAUCACAUAGAUCUUCUAUAAAAUCAUAACUCCUUAAUCAUGACUCUGAUCUUAGUAGUUUUCGAUCCCGCGAUCUCGUAGCAACGCGUACAUUAUUAUUAUUCAGUUUGUACUUAUAUUUGGUUUGGUGUGGUGUUAAUUUUAUCCAUAGCAUGUUUGUUUGUAUUGCUACGACUAGCGAGAGGUUUCGAGGAUUUGAAGAUCACCCUGGUAACUGGAAUCUCAAGUGCCAGGCAAGUUGUGCCCUUGAUCCACUUUUGUUACCCAAUAAUAUUCUUUAUUAUCAUUAUUCAAUGCAUAGGUUUAAUUUUGAUGGGACCCAAUAGGUCACCCUAGUCUAUAUAUCCUAUUUACCUUGUUUACCCCUGAAUCACUUGGGCAGUUUUUGCUAUUGCUUUACAUGGUUUUGGGUUAAUAUUACAUUAUAUCCAUGUUCCAAUUAUUGUAUUAUUUUAUUUAUGUUCAUGUCAAGAUCAUUAUCUUUAAUUGGAACAUGGAGCUUAACUUGAGAAACACGUGCCACUACAAGGGUGGAAUGGGACGCCCUUGGCUGACUAAUUAGGAAAGCUAGUAGAAGACCACCUUACCUGAAAGAAGCAAGGGCAGUAGGGGAGUUGCAUGCAAGGAGGUUCUCGGGUUGAUUUUGCUGCGAUGGCGGUCAGACGAGGGAUUCUUGCAAGUGCUCUUCCCAUAAAUUGUAGCGGGUUUUCGGAAGCUAGUGGAACUUUGUAAAGGCCUCGUAGUGGAUCCCUAGCCAUUCACCUCGGUAGUGUCUAAGGGUCUAGCUAACCCUGGUGACAUGGGAAACAUGGCUUGUGGGUAAAGGGUACAACCUCUGCAGUGUGUAAAACUGGUAUACUAGCCGAGCUCACGGUCAUGAGCAGCUCAGGACUCUCACAUGAUUAAUCUAUGGAACUUAAAUUCAAUUUGUCAUAUGCAUUGCAUGGGAUCAUUUGUUAAUUUUGUUCUAUUAUUAUUUAUUAUGGUUUGGUAUUUACUUACAUAUAGUGAUUACUAAUAAAAUUUUGACCGACUUAUUAAAAGCAAUGCUCAGUUUUAACCCCUAUUGUUGAUCAGCUUUACACAUCACAUGAACUCCCAUCUUUGUGAGUUCAUGCCACAUUAUUCCCCACAACUUGUUGAGCGAUGAACAUGUGUGAGCUCACCCUUUCUGUCUCACACCCCCUAGGAGAAGUACAUGUGGUUCAAGUGGAGCCACGCAUCGAGGAGUUCGAUUUGAUCUAGGUGGCGUCUCCCAGUUGACUUGCGCCAAGGAUGAUCCUUAGUUCGUGUUAUAUUUAUAUAUUAUUUUUGUAAGACUUUCGCUAUGUAAUAAGUACUCUGAUUAUAUUGUGACAUUUAUCUCUAUACACUCUGUUAUUAUAUAUAUUGUCUUCUUUGAUGCAUGUAUGAGAUGCACCCGGCUUUGUCCCUUAAAGCCCGGGGUGUUACACCUUUAGGUGACAAAUUCCGGCCAUGCCCCACCGCCCGCAAGCUAGCAGAUGGGCUGUCUAGGUGCGGCGCUCACAUACGACUCCCAAGGCCGAUCCCCUUGCCCCAAGCGACCCCGCACGCAAAGCUCCAUGGCAGCGGCGUGGACUCCACCCAGUGAUGAUGAUGUGGCGAUGGUUAAGAAGCUGAGAUGAGAGAAGUCGCAUCUAGAUUAUAUAGACAGAGGAAGGCGGAGAUGAGCUCGACUGCAUGGCGAACGAUUCAGUCGCGGCCAACAAAUAUGAGUUUCUAGGGAUCGAAUCCCCCAUAGAUCGGCAUUGCGCAUGAUUCGGUCGUCUUAAUUUCCUGCUACAAGGGGAUUCUGGCCGGGUGGUUGGAACGGUCAGCGGGAUCCGCGCGAUUCUGGCGGCGGACAGCGUGGCGCGCCAGCGCAGGAGGUUGGAGGAAGCGCUGGUUGCUCAGCUCCUCCUGGUAGCGACAUUAGGUGAGUGCGGCCCACGGAAUCCGUGUUGCCAGUCUGGUGAUGAAGAUUCUGACGAGUUGGCCCCACAUGGUGGGCGUGAGGGAGGGGACAGCGCACGGGUCCGAGAGUGUGACCGGGUCUGCUGCUGACCGGUGGCCGUUAGCCAGUGCACGGAAUUGGGCUGGCGCGGUUGCAUGGUUAGUGGGCCGGGGCAAACAGAAAGGGCCCAAGCCGAGGCUCACAUUUUUCUUUCCUUUUAUAUUUUAUGUUUUCCAUUUUCUUAAUUUGUUUCAAAUUCAAAUUUGAUUCAGGGUUCAACCAUAAAAUGGAAAUUGAUUGCAUGACAAAUAAAGAUCCAGCAUGAAAUGUAUAUUUCUAAAGUUAUUUAUUUUGUUAUUUGGCUAGCUUUCUUCCUUUUAAUUGAUUAUUCAAAAAGUAUGAGACAUACAAAAAGGUUUAAAAAAUCCCUAAAGCACAAUCUUAUAUUUAUUUAUUUAUUUAUUUUAUUAUUAUCAUUUUUUUUCUACCAAUUUUGGGCUUUACAAAACGACACAUGAAAGAUCAGCCAAGACAAAAACUCACCAAUAACAAAACGUUCGGGGUACUUCUGUCGCAUCUGCUCCUCAAGCUCCUAGGUAGCCUCGCACUCAGACUGAUUAGUCCACAGGACCUUAACAUACUUAAUUGUUCUUCUUCUCAUGACACACUCUAAGGACUCCAAGAUACGCAUCGGGCGACACUCCAGAGUCAGAUCUUGUUGCACAACGAUCAGCUCUAACUCGAUUUGAUGGUCCGGAUCUGCAGAUACUUCCUCAACAUAGAGACAUGAAAUACCGGGUGUACCCCUACCAUGGAUUCUGGUAAUUGCAUGUGAUAAGCCAAGCUGCCAACCCGGGCCAAGAUAGUGAACGGUCCAAUGUACCUCGGACUAAGCUUCCCCGAGACAUUGAACCGAACGACUCCUUUAGUAGGUGAUACCCUGAGAAGAACUUGAUCACCCACUGCAAAUUCCAAGUCCCGCCUCCUCACAUCAGCAUAACUUUUCUGACGGCUCUGGGCGGCUAUAAUAUUCUGACGAAUCUCUUGAACCUUCUUAGAUGUCUGCUAAACCAAUCAAGACUGACCAAAGAUCUCUCUCCCAGAGUCUCCCAGCAUAAAAGGGAAAUACACCGCCGGCCAUAUAAGGCCUCAUAUGGUGCCAUCUUGAUGCUAGCCUAAUAGCUAUUGUUAUAAGAGAACUCAGCCAAGGCGAGAUGAUCCUCCCAGCUACCCCUCAAAGAAAGGACACAAGCACGCAUCAUGUCCUCCAAAGUCUGAAUAGUCCGCUCUAGCUGACCAUCGGUCUGAGGGUGAAAAGCAACACUAAGAGAAAGCUUGGUACCCAAAGCACUGUGAAGGCUCUACCAAAAUUUGGAUACAAAUUUGGAGUCUCGGUCUAAAACAAUAGAGUUAGGCACACUGUGAAGCCUUAUUACUUCUUUCAUAUAUAAGGGAACCAAUUCUGAAGCUGAAUUUGUGGUCUUCAUGGGAAUAAAGUGCGCUGACUUCGUUAGGCGAUCCACUAGAACCCAUAUAGCAUCCUUGCCUCAAGGGGAACGGGGUAAGCCAACCACAAAAUCCAUGGUGAUAUGCUCCCGCUUCCAUUCUGGAAUUUCCAAAGGCUUCAAUAAAUCUACAGGCCUCUUGUUUUCAGCCUUCACACGCUGGCACACCCCACAGGCUACCACAUACGUAGAAACAUCAACCUUCAUCCUCUUCCACCAGAAGUUUUGCUUCAAAUCUCUAUACAUCUUGGUUUCGCCAAGGUGAACGGUGUAAGGAGUUUUAUGAGCUUCUCUCAAUAUAUCCAUCUUCACAUAUGAUUUCUGUGGCACACAAAGACGUCCUCUGAAACAAACCAAAUCAUUCUCAUCAAUAGUGAAAUCUUGAGGUUUACCAUCGCCGACCCUCUUACGAGCCUCUUGCAACAAACAAUGCUACUGCUGUGCCACACGCACUCUAUCAAGAAGGGAGGAUUGAAUGAGCAUCUGAGUCUCCUCUCUAGUGGUGCCAACAUAGAACAAAGCAACACCCAUAUGGUCCAGAUUUGCAAUCAAAGGCAUGGCCACUUUUUGGGACGCCAGUCCUGCUAAGUGAAUCGGCAACCACAUUCGCCUUUCCUGGAUGAUAUUGAAUUGACAUAUCAUAAUCCUUUAUCAACUCAAGCCACCGACGCUGCCUCAAAUUCAACUCUUUCUGAGUGAAAAUGUACUUGAGACUCUUAUGAUCGGUGUAAAUGUCACAAGACUCACCAUAAAGAUAAUGCCUCCACGAUUUCAGGGCAAACACAACAGCGACCAAUCACCAAGUCGAGGUCAUGGGUAGGAUAAUUCCUCUCAUGUUUCUUCAACUGCUUAGAGCCAUAAGCAAUCACCCUGCUUUCCUACAUCAACACACAACCAAGGCCAAUAUGAGAAGCAUCUGUAUAAACUAUGAAACACUUACCACUCUCAGGCAAGGCUAAAAUAGGAGCAUUCACCUACUCAUCCUUCAAUGCCUGAUAACUAACCUCGCAAUCAUUGGUCCAGACAAAAGGAACACAUUUCUCCAAAAGUUUAGUCAAUGGGUUUGUAAUGCUGGAAAAGUUUGGCACAAAAUGCCGAUAAUAACCAGAAAGCCCCAAGAAACUUUGAUUUUUUUGAGACGCUAGAAGGUCUCUUCCACUCCACCACAGCAGCGACAAUCUUGGGAUCAACUGCAAUGCCAUGCUGAUUAAUCACAUGACCCAGAAAAGCAACUUCAGAAUGUCAAAAGGCACACUUCUUCAACUUGCCAUAGAAUUGAUUCUUCCUAAGAGCAUCCAGAACGAGACGAAGAUGUCCCUCAUGCUCUUCCUCUGUCUUCGAGUAAAUCAGAAUAUCAUCAAGAAAUACAACCAUAAAGUCAUCUAAGAACUCAUGCAACAUCUUAUUCACUGCUUCCAUAAAAGCAGUAGGGGCAUUAGUUAAGCCAAAGGACAUGACGAUAUACUCGAAGUGCCCAUACUUGGUGCUAAAAGUUGUCUUCUCAAUAUCCUCCUCACGAAUCCUCAAAUGAUGAUAACUAGAGCUCAAAUCAAUCUUAGAGAAUACCUAGGUACCUCUCAGCUGUUCAAAGAGAACAUCAAUACGAGGUAGCGGAUAUUUAUUCUUGAUCGUCACUUGAUUUAAAGCACGAUAAUCCACACAUAAUCUUUUGCUUUUAUCCUUCUUCUCAACAAAUAACACCAGAAAAGCCCAUGGUGACCUGCUAGGCCUAAUGAAACCCUUAGCAAGCAGAUCAUCCAAUUGCCGCUUCAACUCAACAUGCUCUUUUGGAGCCAUCCGAUACAGGGCCUUAUGAAUAGGCUGCAUACCCAGAAUCAGCUUGAUUUCAAAAGCCGCAACACGCUCCGGUGGAAUUCCUGGUAGCUCCGCUAAGAACACGUCGGCAUAAUCACACACCACACGGAUGUCCUGCACUCGCAAGGCAGCCUCACUCUCCACCAUCAUAGAAAAAAGAAUUCCUGACUUCCUUGUCCGACGAUCCGGAAGUAGCUGGGACAAUAAGGAAAGAGCAUACUUCGGAGUGCUCCCCAAAAAUACCAUCUCCCUACCCGACGACGCCUACAAAGACACUGUCUUCCAGAAACAGGAUAUGACUGCGCGAUAUUGAGUUAACCAAUCCAUACCUAAAAUAACAUCAAAUGACUCAAGGGGAAUCACCACGAUAUUAGCCAAAAAGAUCUCAUCUGCAAGAACGACGGAGCAACCUGGGCAGACUGAACAACUACUAAUGGAGCCCUUAGCAGAACUAACCAUAAUUGGGUGACCCAUCAUUCGCACCGAAAGACCGGCAUAGGACACAAAAUUCUCCGAAACAAACGAAAACUAGCGCCAAAGUCAAAAAGAGCAUGUGCAUUAAACGAAUCAACUGAGACAGUACCUGUCACCACAUCUCCAUGGUCUCUGUCUUCUGCAGAGGGUAGCACAUAUGCUCCUGGAACACCCAUAGAAGAGGAAACACUCGGAGUGAAAUUAACACAAGAAGAACCCCAACGAGUUGCAGGCUGAGGCAGACAUGGAGCUCCAAACUGAGGUGGUAAAGGAGCGGUCGGUGCAGGAGUAGGUGCUGCCAAGCACUGAGGAAAACCUGGCAAAGACAAGUACUAAGGAGUCCUUGGCAUAUAAAACUACUGCUGAGGGGGUGGUACAGAAAAUUGUUGCUCAGUGGUUGCCAUCAUGUUGACAGUGCCCUGCAAAGAGGAAGAAGUCACUAGGUCCCAUUUAAGUUUCCCAUUUAGAUUCCUCCUACACACCACAUCUCCUUGUGAUCCUGGUUGCAAAUAGAGCACCUUCCACUCCACUGACACUCAGCACGACGAUGCGCUUCACCACAACAGAAACACACCAACCCCAACCCAGGCUUAGGAACAACCUGAUACCUCUGAGUACUCCCUCCUGAAGUACCCAAUUCAGAGGACUUGCCAUGAUAGGGGUUGUGGCGCUGGUGUUGAAACUUUCCCUUCUUGUGAGCUGGACCCCCAGUGUAGCCCCUCCUCAUAUCCUGGCCACGAGGCUAGUCAACACCUGAAGACUUCUGGAACUCAUUUGUAUACUGAUGUUGCAUCUCCAUGCCCAAAGCCUGCUCCGCAGUAGUUGAAAAAUCCACUAGCAGAAAGGCACUCAGAGCAUGCCUGAUAUAAGGUCUCAAGCCCUAACAAAACUGGCUCGCCUUUUCUAAUUCAUUAUAGGCCACAUGCGGAACAAAGCGGACCAUCUUGUUAAAGCCCACUUCAUACUCUGUAACCGUCUUUUUCUCCUGCUUGAAUGAUUGCAAGUCUAUCUUCAUCUUCUCCAGGAAAGUGACUGGGUAAAAUCUCCUUUCAAAUUGCCUGACAAAAAUAUCCCAGGUCAGGUAACCCAGUGAAGACAAAUGAGCUGCCUGCACGCCUCUCCACCAAAUCUAAGCCUCUCCCUUCAAUAGUUGUGUGCCAAAGCGAACACGAUCUCCAAACACUAUCUCAAAGACAUCCAUCUUAUCUUCCACAUAAGUCAGCCAAUCUGCCGCCUCAACCGGAGUACCACUGCCAUCAAAAGUAUCCAACUUCAUGCCCAUCCACUGCAUCAGAGAAAGACCACUAACUGGAAGAGGCAUCUCAGCCCCCACCACCUGGAGCAGCACCCAGGGACGGUGCCCCUGGGAACACCUCCACUACCAGCACCCUGAGCACCAGCGGCCGGAGCAGGACCAGCAGGAGCAAUUGGAAUGGCUUGCCUCAGAAUGGCCAACUCCUGCUAUAUACCCUACAUCGCCGCUAACAUAGCCGCCGGACUCAUAGAAUCCCCAUUAUGAUCUUGUAGGCUGCCACAAGCCAUUUUAGGUGGCAUAGCUGUGAUACCCGAAUUGGUAUGAAAGAAGUUAAAUUUCUUUUCUUUUUUUCGCGCUCUGUGUCUCUGGAGUUUGGAGUUCUGGGAGGCGAAUACCUCAAUUGAACGGUAGCUUUUUGGGCAUUCUUUUCGUUGGGGCCGGGAUCUCGAGGGGAAGCUUGGGCUGUGAGCCGUCGAUCCCGCAUCUAGUGGAUGAAGAGGCCCCUCAUCUCCCCCUAACCCUAGCCGCCCCUCCCACUACUCUUGCAGCCACCCCCUCCCAUUUUCCUUGGGCAGUCGACCACCCUUUCCUCUCCCUCUCCCUCUCUCAUCCUUGCAGCCGCCGCCCCCCUCCACUCCAAGCAGUCGCCCUCUUCCUCCCACCCAAGCCCUAGCCACCCCCCUUCCAUCCCCUCCCAAGGUGCAGUCAUCCCUCCUCCCUUGGAUCUCCUUCAAGUUGGUGCAAGCCUCUAAUUGGAGAAUUGGUGGGAGGAAGAAGAAAGGGGUGAAGGAAGAACUCAAGGUGAUCUUGUGUUUUAUUUUGUAUUUGUGCUGCAAUUACAUUUGGUUAUCCGUUCACCUAGGCGAAUUGGUAGUAGUGUUGUCCUGAUUUUUGGUGGUGGCGGACAAUAGUAGUGUUGGUAGUUUCUAGAAUUUUUGCGGGGGCAAUUAGCUAUAAUCACUGUGAAAAUCAUGUAGAUCUUUGUCAUUUAUUUCCAUAGAGUACUUAUGCGUUCGAUUUGAUGGAAUAUUCUAGGAGAUAUCGCAUUUUGAACUCAGCUAGGUUGUUGUCGAAAAAACAGAACGCAUGAUGUACUUUGUCGGCUAUUUGGGGCAUCGAGAUGUUGGAAUUUAAUUAUCUUUUGAGUACGAAACUUGCAGAGAAUUUUAUGUAGAUGUUUUUGGAGUUUUUGUUUGAUAUCACUACUGUUAUAAUUUUAAAGUUAUGAAAUUAACAAGCAGCGCUGCUGCAGUUUAGUGGGUGAUGGGGAGAGUUGUUGCUCGUGAUGGGUUGGGAUUGUGCGUAGGUGCGACGUUGAUUAUAAGCGAUUGUUAUGUGAAUAUGUGCACUAAGUUGUGUGUCAAAACAGGUGGUGGACCUCCGGAUCGUACUUAGUACCAUUCCAAAUUCCCGGUGAAGGCAAGUAAAAACAGUGAUGGUUUAUACCAUUCGGUUGUAUUAUGUGCCCUGUUCUUGAACUGAUAUAAGUAUCGAAUGUGUUUAUCAUUGAAUUCCAUUAUAACAAUUGUUGUUUGAAGUUAUUCAUGUUCUAUUGUUUUAAAUAUGUUGAGGGCAUUGUUCGAGCAUGUUAUAUGUGUUGAUUCCUAUCUUGAGGAAGUGGAAGUAUCUAUUUAACACAUGUUAAAUGAGGUGGACUUAUGUUGGUUUGUCAUGCAUAGUGCAUCCAUCAUUCUUUGUAUUGAAGUUUCGUCGCGAUCAUAUGGUCCGACCAUACCGGUACAAUAAGCAUCGUACGUUGCCCGAGGAGGGGUACGAUGCAACUUCAUAUCCUUAGAGGUAUGAAGGCAGAAGUCAUUAUUGUAUUUGUAGUCAUAUGCACUCAUGAGGAAUAUGUGGAACCUGUCAUUGAUUUGUUAAUAUUAGGGAUCUCCUCUUCGUGAAUUGGGAACUAGUUGUUUGGUACUUUGCAUACUUGCUGCACUCUAAUAUUUAAGAAGGGAGUUGUGAACUCCGUGGUUGGUGAAACACUGUUUUUACUUUAUCUAACUGUUGGUUGAUCAUUUUACUUGCUGAGAUGUGUCAUCUCACUCUUGCAUUGUUUGAUGUAGGCUCUUGAACCUGGCUUGGGGAAAGGAGGGAAGUAGCAGCACGAUCACUACACUUCUAAACAACUUUACACUACUUAGUAAUGUCUUUAAUCAGGGGCUUCGGGUCAGGGAUGUUGGUCAUUUUUUAAAUAGUGUGUGCAAGUAGU
RNAcentral lists this long non-coding RNA (10537 nucleotides) under Zea mays. Its description in RNAcentral is "long non-coding RNA (ZMAY_LNC000381)". The record is from RNAcentral. Lineage: Eukaryota; Viridiplantae; Streptophyta; Magnoliopsida; Poales; Poaceae.